GACGAACGCUGGCGGCGUGCUUAACACAUGCAAGUCGAACGGAAAGGCCCUGCUUUUGUGGGGUGCUCGAGUGGCGAACGGGUGAGUAACACGUGAGUAACCUGCCCUUGACUUUGGGAUAACUUCAGGAAACUGUGGCUAAUACCGGAUAGGAGCUCCUGCUGCAUGGUGGGGGUUGGAAAGUUUCGGCGGUUGGGGAUGGACUCGCGGCUUAUCAGCUUGUUGGUGGGGUAGUGGCUUACCAAGGCUUUGACGGGUAGCCGGCCUGAGAGGGUGACCGGCAACAUUGGGACUGAGAUACGGCCCAGACUCCUACGGGAGGCAGCAGUGGGGAAUAUUGCACAAUGGGCGGAAGCCUGAUGCAGAAACGCCGCGUGCGGGAUGAUGGCCUUCGGGUUGUAAACCGCUUUCGCCUGUGACGAAGCGUGAGUGACGGUAAUGGGUAAAGAAGCACCGGCUAACUACGUG
RNAcentral lists this ribosomal RNA (468 nucleotides) under uncultured bacterium. RNAcentral describes it as "partial 16S ribosomal RNA". It matches the Rfam family "Bacterial small subunit ribosomal RNA", at positions 28 to 507 of the family's 1533-position model. The record is from RNAcentral.